GUUCGGCGGGUUGCGGGUCGUGGGUGCGCAGGCGCCGGGCGCGGGUUGCUAGGCGACGACCCCCGUCUGCGGGAGAUGAGCUCCUUGGCGGACACCUGAUUCAGUUUCGGAUCGCGAUCGGUGAUGCUAUCGCCCGCUUAUCUCCGCGCCCAGCCCGCCUAACCUCACAUCGAGAGUAAGGUCGUUACCAGGCUCACGGACGAUUAUCGCCCGAUCCAUUUUCCCAGGCCUCGUUCCCGCGCUUUUUUCCCGGGGCCACGAUCCGGUUUUCCCGGUGCAGUGUGUGUGACUUUCCGUCGGACGCUGAUUUUCUGCCGGAGGAGUUUUGGAGAUUUUGUGGUAUGCGUUGACUCUGAUUCUCAUGCGUUUAUUCGUGAGUAACUAUAAAAAUAAAUUAAUAAUUAAUUGAACGUACAUUUUACAUUAGAAAUUAUUUGAGUGCUUGUGCACUAGGGUGUCCCAAAUUUGAACCAUCCAAAAAAUUUUCUCGGAUCAUCGAUGUCCGAUGGUUUUAUUGUGUCAUUAUGUUAAACAUUUAAUAUCCCCAAAUUUGAGCAAAAUCGGAUGAUUUUUAGUGCUGCCACCACGCGUUUUUAGUCGCGGCGAAAAUUUCUUAAAGUAGCUUUUUUAGCGUUUUGGGCGCUACUUUUAAAGGUCGUUAGCAGCAAUUGGAGGCAUCAAAUAAUUUUUUAUCGUGACUCUGUAUAGUAUAGAUUCAAGUAGUAAUGUUUUUUUGGACGUUACAGACCUAAAAAUUUUACUUCGAACCCCCUAAAAUCGACGAAAAACUCGAUUUUUCCCUUUUAAGCAACUAGUCGAUGACUUUUAUGAAAAUUAGGGAAAAAAUUAAUAAUAAGCUUAUUUUUGGCAAAGUGGGUCCUUAAGACCCCCUAAGCUCCGCCAGAAAAGUUCUCAUUAACAGCGUGACGGGUUUGGAAUGUGGGGGGGGGGGGUGUUAGUGCCCCAAAAUCGCUUUGCCAGCCACAACAAAAGAACGAUUGGUCGCAGCACUACGAAUAGCACCAUUUUCUGAAUUC
This 1037-nucleotide long non-coding RNA is filed under the name Bemisia tabaci. RNAcentral describes it as "lncRNA ENSSSA1UGG002532". The record is from RNAcentral. Lineage: Eukaryota; Metazoa; Arthropoda; Insecta; Hemiptera; Aleyrodidae.